CUACGUGCCAGCAGCCGCGGUAAUACGGAAGGUCCGGGCGUUAUCCGGAUUCAUUGGGUUUAAAGGGAGCGUAGGCCGUGGAUUAAGCGUGUUGUGAAAUGUAGGCGCUCAACGUCUGACUUGCAGCGCGAACUGGUCCACUUGAGUGUGCGCGACGCAGGCGGAAUUCGUGGUGUAGCGGUGAAAUGCUUAGAUAUCACGAGGAACCCCGAUUGCGAAGGCAGCUUGCGGGAGCACCACUGACGCUGAGGCUCGAAGGUGCGGGUAUCGAACAGGAUUAGAUACCCUGGUAGUCCGCACGGUAAACGAUGGAUGCCCGUUCUCCGGCCUUUUGGUCGGGGGACCGAGCGAAAGCAUUGAGCAUCCCACCUGGGGAGUACGCCGGCAACGGUGAAACUCAAAGGAAUUGACGGGGGCCCGCACAAGCGGAGGAACAUGUGGUUUAAUUCGAUGAUACGCGAGGAACCUUACCCGGGCUUGAA
Molecule: ribosomal RNA, 482 nt
Filed under: uncultured bacterium
Lineage: Bacteria
Description: bacterial SSU rRNA
Rfam family: Bacterial small subunit ribosomal RNA
Source: RNAcentral